This 498-nucleotide ribosomal RNA is filed under the name uncultured bacterium. RNAcentral's name for it is "partial 16S ribosomal RNA". It matches the Rfam family "Bacterial small subunit ribosomal RNA", at positions 30 to 523 of the family's 1533-position model. The record is from RNAcentral.
AUUGAACGCUGGCGGCAUGCCUUACACAUGCAAGUCGAACGGUAACAGGUCUUCGGAUGCUGACGAGUGGCGAACGGGUGAGUAAUACAUCGGAACGUGCCUAGUAGUGGGGGAUAACUACUCGAAAGAGUGGCUAAUACCGCAUGAGAUCUACGGAUGAAAGCAGGGGAUCGCAAGACCUUGUGCUACUAGAGCGGCCGAUGGCAGAUUAGGUAGUUGGUGGGAUAAAAGCUUACCAAGCCGACGAUCUGUAGCUGGUCUGAGAGGACGAUCAGCCACACUGGGACUGAGACAAGGCCCAGGCGCCUACGGGAGGCAGAAGUGGGGAAUUUUGGACAAUGGGCGAAAGCCUGAUCCAGCAAUGCCGCGUGCAGGAUGAAGGCCUUCGGGUUGUAAACUGCUUUUGUACGGAACGAAAAGCCCUGGGUUAAUACCCUGGGGUCAUGACGGUACCGUAAGAAUAAGCACCGGCUAACUACGUGCCAGCCGCCGCCGUAA